CGACAGUCCCAUAGUAUUUUUCCAUAGGGGUAACUUAUAUUAAUUUUUAGCUUUGCAAGUAGAGUUGCCUUGAUAAAUUAUUUAGUAUUAAGGAUAAAGCCUGACUAAAAUCUGAAAAUACAGAUGCUAAAGUACAAAAUUGAUUGGAAAAAAACGCUCUCUCUACGUUCUAUGCUCUCUCAUGUAUAAUCAUAUACGUGAUAUCCGCUAGAACCUGUUUCCUGCAAGGCAGGUUUAAUGCAUGCUCCGUUAGACGACGUGUACGUAUGCUGGCGCCAGCUACCGACAGGCGUCACAAAUGUUUGCCGCCUUUCUCAUCGGGUGACAAACUAUAUUCAGUGGAAAAUCUCGCGUGGUGGAAAAGCGUUGGUGCGGUGGAGAUCGGAAAAGGGAGUGGUGGGGAUGAUAGAGUGGGAGAAGAGGGGAAGGCAGAAGAGGGUGGAGUUUCACCGCGCAAUGUGUUCGUAUUGCCGAAGAAGUAGGAAAAACGGUCGAGUUGCUCGCGCGUGCCCGCUUCUUUUUUGCCCUAUCGCUGUCUCGUUUGCUCAACCAGGCUACUAGGCGUGGUUUAAAAAAGAUUUAGCGACUCGUGUGAGGGGGAGGUGGAGCUACCGUGGCGCGGAAUUCCAGAAUUCACGAACUGCGACGCCGCGCUGAAAGCGUCGGGGUGCCGUUUACUCUAGUAAGAAAGAGAAGGGGAGAAGAUAGAGAGGAGAAUUCGCGUUGCUGUGGCAGCUUUGGUGGGACGUGGUAGACCCAUCGCACGCAGGGAAAGCGACGAAGGGGAAACUAUACCGCUUCAGGCAGACCGAUCUAGCUCGACAACAGCCAGUUCAAUGCGCGCCAACAUUCUCUCAAGAUAUUUCCUUGUGUUCGACUUAUGCGUCGCCUUACUACCAUAUAUGCAUUCGUCUUAUCGCAAAAUAAUCUUACAAAAACCCUACUAGAGACAGUAUGCUAAAUAAUCUAGAAAACUGUUUGAUUUUCUACAUAGUACUUUUUAUUCCUGCUAUCAAGUCAGAUCGGUUUAAAAAAAAAUACAAAGUUGCCGAUAUGCAUUUGAUUUAGAAGAUGAAUUUAGGAUUUUUUCAAAUGAAAAGGAAAGGAAAAAGAAAUGUGCGUGACGGUGGAAGUGUUGGAAGUGUCCGCCGGAAUAGGAAAUGCAAGUGCUCAUGUUGAUGUAGUUAUGAUUCUGUGCGCAAGGGAGGCUGUCAGGGAAAGUUUGAAUGCUUGGCAAGAAUGUGCACAAUUUCUUGGUUCGUAUGUCAAUAUUCUCUGCACGUCUGAUAGGUGCUGGGAUAAAAUGCGUUCGCAACAUAACUUAUAUGUUCAAUACUAAUGCUACCUUUAAAAAUCAAAUAAUUAUUGUAGCACUCUAAUGAUAAAUAGUAUCAAAAAUUUAAAGCAGACACAUAACACAUUAUAGUAACACAUUAACCCAAUCAAUACUUCUUUUUUGUAAAAAUAUCUUUUGAUCAACGUCUAUACAGUUUAAUGUAUCUAAUCUGAUUAGGUCAAACCCCUAUCCGGAUUUUAAAGAGAAUCGUCCAAUCUUCCACGAGAUCAUUUCAGCAGAUCAUCAGUUCAAAAGCAAACGCUGAACAAAGUAACACUAAAAAUUAUAUUCACAAACCCUCUCUUGAUAAGAGUACAAGUCUUUCGUAAAGUGGAAAGUUAAAAACUAAAUAAUAUAUUAAUGAUAGUCGAACUAUAAAUAGUCUAGCAAACAACAUUAAAAACACCGACACGCGAUAAAAUGGUUAUUGUUAAAACGACUAAGUUUUGACUAUAAAAUUAAUCUACUUCUUCCUUUGAUGACACAACAAAUAAAAACACCUGUCACAAAUAUACGGAUGAAAAGUGACAGAUAUUAGUCAAAGACAAAAUAUAUGGGGUUGUGAGUGCGCGCGCUAUACAUUAUUUAAAAAAAUCAUACUUGGAAGAAAAAGUCUAUAGACUUGAAUGGAUUUAUUGUGUAAAAGUAGCAAGCAGAAUACCACUCGGUUAUCUUCGCACUAACGGAUCUGACUAUUCACAAAGUUGGCUAUAUUUGCAGCGUGGAUAGCGCGUGACGCAUGCUGACGAUGUUAGAGCGUUCUGCUCCCCACUCUUAAAUUCGAUCUAUCUUCCCCACCGCGUACGUUCGAUCCCCUACCGACGGUAUUGCAACGUACCGGACGCGACAAAGAUGGAAAGAUUCGCGUGUACUCCAGCUCGAGCAAAAUGGAACACGUGCCGUCGCGGUGGGGGCGGAGGAGGAGCGAGAAUCGCGUUGAGGUAGGGGAUAUCUAUUCACGACGAGAGGGGCAACCGACUGCUCUCACCCUCGCGAUUACCACACCCCUUCCACCAACCAGUGGUGCGCGUUUUCUCCCACAUAGCGGCGCUAACCGACGGGAUCUUUGUUACUCGCUACGCUCGAACGGCGUUUCGGUUGUGAGUUUGGAUGCUGGUGCCGCCAAGCGGCGAUUGCGCGAAACUCCAAGGUCGUCAGGGUGGUGGAAGAAUAGGUGGUGGGACAGGGUGACGUCGAGAGAGGAAACGCGACAAGGGUAGGGUGGACGAAAGGCAACCUGGUGGGGGGAAUCCAGAGAACGUAUCCGACGAGGACGGCGACAUACUACUCUCAGGACGCGCAGAACGUCAGAGUGGGUCGAGAACGACGGGUGUCUCUUUCUCUCUCCCUCUUUCUCUCACCACCUAUCGCUCUGUUCUUGUUCCUUCCGAUCAUUUUUCUCACUUCCACGCUCCUCGUGGAGAGGCAGAGGAACAGAGCUCGAUGGCGGGGCAAGAGCCGGCUUACUACGCGGCGAAACGCUAGCACGGCGCUCAGUCUUCAGCGAUCAAACCGCCAGGCAGUGUGGACCUUCCUGAACAGUCUCUUCUACUCUUUUCCAUCUCUUCUUUUUUGACUGGUGACGAUAAUCAGCAGAUAAAACUAGAAAACCGCAACAGUUAUUCCUUUGUUGGUGUAUUCGACAAUUUGAAGCAGUUUUUUUUACUGGAAAGAUCUUCAAUUAAACUAAGACCAAUGUCAAGAAGAAGAACUAAGCAGAAGAUGGACAACGGUUUCGGGGCACAGUGUUGAAGAUCAUCAAAGUUCGAAUCAGAUUCCUCGGGAUAACUUAUAGAUUGAUCUUACGAAUUUGGAGUAAAAAAUUAUUUGCGUUGAAAUAACAAUGAAGAAAGAAGAUUAAAAGCUGAUGAGAGACGAAUCGAAGCAGAUGUUUAAAAAACUUAUCGAAGAAUGGUGCUUGUUAUCAGUUCAAACUUCAGGAUAUGGAACCUCAAGAAUAUCUUCAAAUGAAAGGAUCAAGAAAGAAUUUAAAAAACUGUUCAAUACUUUGAAAAUGGAAUCUAUGAUACGGUUAGACGUGCACUACAAUAUUAUUACGUGAAGAAAGAGUAACGUAUUCACAAAGAUAGGUGCAUGCUGUGACGCCGAUGUGCAAACGCAACCAUGGGGAGCCGUGUUAAACCACGUGGGUACAUUAAAUCUUGUGAAUCUACUCUAUUUCCAUUCACAAGUAUAAGUUCGCGAUCUGGAGAUGGUGUAUUAAAACCAAGUAUCUUUAAGUAUCAAGUACUCACACUACCCGUGAAGAUCAUAAGGACAUUAAAGGUGCAACGUAACAGUGAUCACGCUAAGAGAUUCGUCGUAUCGUGUUAACGCUGUCCAAUGACGAUAUAACUUCGUAGAGGAAGAAACUGUAAAAAGAAACGUUGCGAGUGCGGGUAGUGUAAAAUGUAAAAAGUGGUAAAGUGGAGUAAAACUGCCGUUCGCAAGCAUAAGUUUCGAACGUAAUAUCCACUAUCCAUUGAUGAACUUAUUACUCGGACGUGUGAUCCGCCGACGGCACUUGCGAUUCGAGACACUUAGUGAUCAAAUAGGCAAGUGAGAUUCAAAGCCCGCGGUAAGAAGAUUGCAGCUGCUCAGUGGCACUGAUCGGUAAGGUAUAAGGAUUGGAGAACCGUUAAGCCGUAAGCUAUAUAACGCAAUAACUAGUUUUAAUAAAAUACAAUAAAAAGCUCGCAAUAUAAGUGUGCCGUUCUGCACGGUAUAACGCUCAAUAUUUUUACAAAACAGAUAAUGCACGUUUCGUAAAACAUUCGCUCGUUCUCGAGAGCAAAAACUUUUUUUUCUCGAUACUUUUCUUCAACUUAUUAUGUUUGCGUUUGCGAAAUUCAAGAUCUGAACCUUAUAUCGUCCGUAAGUGAUAUCGUGUAAUUCUACGAUGGUCGUAUCAAAUAUCAAUAUCGAGUGAAGUCGCGUGAUUUCGCUGUAGCUUAGGAGAUGUUGCGCACUAUCGCGUCGGGACUCGGCGGGACUAGAUCGAGUCGAGUCGAGUCGAAUGAAGAAUCCGGCAAGACGGUACGUCCCUGCCUUCGGUGGGCAGAUAGGGUAUAAUCAUACCGAGUUUCGUAUCUCGAGGGGGGCCACGGGAAGAUGGUCCAACAUCUGCCGCUGCAGGGAAUCUCUGCCCACAUGCUGGCCGGCCCGCGCGCGCACGCACACGUACGAUACGCGCGUGUGUACAGGCGCCUGUACACACGCGCUGUACACACGCGCACACGCGACGCACACGCGUAUACGCACGGCAAAAAGUGACGUAGGUACACGGUGGGACGUCAUGUAAAUUCAUUCGAAACACAUGGCAGGGCUCAUGGCGGCGUUCCUCUUGCGCGCAAAGGGUUUCGAAGUGAAAUCUCUUCGCGAAGAGCAGGACGCGCGGAAAAACAAACUAUAACUUUGGCUUCAACUUUGCGUGCCCUCUUGGUAUACCGUUAUUCCGUGCCACGUCGCCGCGACUGGGCGCGGAUAAAUUUGGAUUUCUUUUCUUCACCGAGCCAACGUAGCAAUGCGAUAUUUUAGUCGGUCACGAGUCAUCGCAGGUUUCUUUCGUGCACGACAAUAUGUUUAAUGACAACAAUGGUAAUUCUCAAUUUCUAGCUGGAUAGUAUUAGAAACCGUAAUAUUUUACGUGUCCGAAUAUGUUUAUUAAGCAAUACGAGUAAUUGGAAAAUAUAAAGAUGUAAUGGAUUUUUGUUUUUUUUUUAUUAUAAAUUUAUAAAAAUCUAUCAUAACUGAAUGUUAGCUAAUUAUGCAUAAUAUAAAAUAUUGGCUUUAUUAAAGAAGUUUCUGGGAUCUACCUUAUCACGAAUAUGUUAAUUAGUUAAUUCAUUAUUUUAAUAAAUAUGUUCCUCUUAUGUAAUGUGUAUAUACACGUACGUAUGCAUAAAUUCAUUACAUCCCCGUGAACAUAUUAAUUGGUUGCAGUUUAAUUUUAAUCGAUAGAUACUUAUCUUUGUUAUUAUCUGCACUAAUAGCCUAUGUUAUAUCGUUAUAUUUUAUAUUGCACAAAAUAAAUCUCUUCGUGCUCUUAAUAAUUUAAUUUCACGAUAGUGUACGUGAUUUUUUACACGCGGUAUAUUUUACAAAAAAAAUUUAUAUUAACAGUAUAACAUCAUUGUUGAAAAAGGGGAAUCAAUUGAAAAAAAAAAAGAAUAAUAAAACUCGCGCGCGGCAUUACAGAAGUGUUCCUAAUUAAAGUCAUCAAGCCAGUUGAACAAUUACCAUUAACUGCGUACGCUGCCGCAGCACUUACAACAACCGUCACGUUUACCGUUGCUGAAAAUGGUUCGUUCGAUUUCACUUAUGUGUAACGCCUUUAUUAUAAGAAAGAAAAUAGAUAUUUGCAAUAUUUACGAAGAACAUCUUCGACGUGUAGUAUUGAAGAAAAUAACCUCUUGGUGGUUUAAGAAAAAUUAAAAUUGCAUCUGAGAAGUAAUAGUGUAAAAAAAUAUUUAACUAGAGAGAUGAGCAAAUGCAAAAAGCAAAGAAAAAAAAGAAGAGGAUGCUGUUGAUCGGCGCGACUGCCAGAAGAGAGGGAGAGGCGGGACAGCUCAGUUGUCGCGCCGUUCUCUCUCUUUUUUUUUCACGAGAAAGAAACGUCUUCGUUAUGUUCGGCAAGCCGGAAGAUAAAAAGGAGCAAGGGCCUUCUCGAUGAGAGUCGAUUUCGAAACGUUUGCAGGCGCGCCGUGCAAAGAGUGCUGUGGCACAAUAAAGAUAACGAUUUACGUUUGACUUUAUCGCUGGGAAGCCAGGGCCAAUGACUCGAUGAACCAACUUUGUGUCUCGAUUGUUGCGAUUUAUAAGCAAUGUGCUUAAUGCCUCCUGAAUGCCAAGGUAGCGUCGAAAUGGAAUAUUCCUAACACGAAGCGGCAAUCAACAGCUAAUUAACGCUGCACAUAAUUAAAUAGCUGUAAAUUGUACUCAUUUCCUUUGACAUUCAGAUAACUUUAAGCAUCACACAGGAUAAAGAACAGAUCACAUCUUAUGGAAUAUUUUGAAAUUAAUUGCGAUUAAAUUAUGUGAAACAUAAUGAUACAGAAUUUUGCAAUUUAUGUUAUAAAAUAAAAUUUGUUAUGUGAUAUUAAAAUUUUUCAUCGAGAGAUAUUUUCAACGAAUUUCGAGAUACUAUUUUAUUGUAUUAAUUCUGUCGGAUUAUAUCACAAACUAUUAAUUACACUUUCGACAUAUUCAUUACGAAUAAUACGUUGAUAUAUACACGAUGAAUUAUGCAUUCGGUAAGUUUUAACUAGAGGACUAAAGUUACCUUGUAUGAUGUACUUAAAAUAAUCAACCAGUUAAAAAAAAUAUAUGGCUAAAAAAGGUAAAGAUACCUGUGUGUAUAAUGAUUUUUAAGAUAGGCAUACCUUUAUUUGAAAAAAAAAGUUUCUAAGAUCUGUGUGCGACUAUGUGAACUGCGCGACGGAACGGACCGUAUUUCUCCGUGAAAUUUAACGAACCCUCUCGCAAUGGGACACCAUUAAAAAAAUUCUUGAGCGUCAUGUCGUAGAACGCACGCAAUGGUGAUGAACGCCACGAAUGGGAGAGAGAAGGAGAAGGGAUAUUAAGAGAAAAAAAACAAGAAGAAAGAGCGACGACAUCGCGAGGCAUUUCACGCAAACUUAUGCAAAUGCAGUGCAACGCGCACACAUCGCGCAGUUUACGGUUUUAUACAAAGACUAUAAUUUACAAUUCUUGCAUAUCGAUAUGAUCGCGGAUAACAUUUUUGGAACAACCAUAAAUGACAGCGAAUUUUAGGCAAAUGACAGAAAAAACAAAUUGAAAUCAUUGAUCUGGUAGAAAUUUCUUGAGGAUUUUAUAAAAUACUUGAAAAAUAAGCUAUAAUUAAAUAUAUCAUAGAUUGAAAAUAUUAAAUUUUAUGAGAAGAAAGGCGACAACAUGAAUAUUUUUCUAAUUUUUAAAUAUCUUAAGUUUAGGUAAUAUGAUUUUUUUUUAAAACAAUUAUUCGUAAAGUUGUUAAUAUGAGAUUUGUCUUCUUUCACUUCUUCAAUUCGUUCAUGAUAUGCACGAUAGUUUUUCGACGAAGCAAGAAAGGAUUUAUCGCACGCGCUCGCAUACAGAUGGUUUUAAUUAUUUAACCUGACAUCGAAUGCACUCCCGCCGAAAAAGUUUGUGCCAUGGUAGAAACUCGAAAAUGCAUUUCGUGCACGUAACGAACUUAAAUGACCAGAGCGUGCACACCGGUUGCCCCGCGACCAUUAUCAGAUCAAUAAUUGCGAAGGAGAGCCAAACUUCUCGAACUUUGGAACUGUUUCUAGCAAAUUCAUACUGCCACCCGGCUUCUAACUUCUCUUUGCGUAUUGAUAAAAGAAUGCCGGUGAUCUUUCAAAGAGGAUAAAUUAAUAACAAGAUGGUCAAGUUUCUAUUAAUUAUAAAAGUAAUUUUAACUUCUGAGGAUGUAUUUAUCUAUUUAUUUAUAGAUAUCAUAUCAGAAAACUCAAUAAAAACAUAGAAACAUGAAUAAACGCAAGAAAUAUCAGUUUCCAAUAAAGAAAAGUUUAUCUAAACGAGAAGAGAUAUUACAGGUAAAUCACUGUACGCUUUUAAUUUAGCAUGAUUAUAUUCUAGGGACAAUAACUGCGUAGGCAGAUUAGGCCAAUGCAAUCUUGAUUGACAAACAACUGUUGCGGUGCAUAAUUAUUAUUCACCACACGUUAUGGCAUGUUCCAAACCGCGAGGCGGCGGUGCCUAGAAUCGAUAUUCUCAGGUUAACCGUACAUCCACAUACAUACGGGGCAAGGGGCUGCUCAUGGCGUUGAUCGUCACGUCCCCCAAUUAAGGUCUCGAGGUAGUUAACGAGCAAAAUAAUUAGGCUGUACACGACGAUGGCUAGGAUGACGAGGACAACGCGGUUCGUUAGUCCGUCUUCCCUCUUUGGGGUCGAACGAUCGUGCUACAUCUGGCAAGAUGGUUAACAAAAAAAAAAAGCGUCAGACGUAUCUUUUAAGCGGCGGGACAUACCAUGAACUAAUGUUUAGGAAGGCUUGCGUUACCAAACGUUAUACGUUGCCUGCAUGUAAAAUUGUUGAUCGGAAGAGGUCGCGGUUGCGGUAUUCGCAUAAAACGGACAAUUUUCAAAGCGUGCAAAUAAUUGCUGGAUCUAUUUUUAUCAGGUUAAGCGCAUCGUGUACAAGCGUUCCAUUAUCUCGCGACAGUACAUAAAGCUUUGCUUCGAUUCAUCAUUGGUAGAUCGAGAUGUACCGGUGUACCGCUCUAUCACGCGUGUCGCGUUACAACCGAUCGCAAUCAUGUUUGGCGGCUGUCUUGCAUGAACGUCGAUAAUAAUUGGAUUUGAUCGGAAGUUUCAGCCAUCCGUAGAGCUUUGGGAGUUAAAGCGCAGUGUUAACGAAACGUUGAGUUAACGACGCGACACGCUGAGCCGGUAACCCAUAAAUGCGCGGAUACCAGGGGGUUAAAAGCAAGAGGGAGAGAGAGAGAGAGAGAGAGAGAGAGUUGCGAGAGGGAAGGGAGAAAUCUGUGAGCGCCACCCUUUCGUAUGCAAAUCCCGGGACACCUGGAGCCAAAGGCCGCAUGCAAAUCGGAGCUCGGGCCAUCUGAUCGGGCAGUACCUCCGCCUCUGAACCGGUCCGCGUUUUUUGCGGAGCCCCGAAAAUCGCACGUCUCUGCCAUAUUUUUUUUUUCUCUUCACGGUAGUGGAACAUCGCUGGGAAUUCAACUCGUGAAAUUCAGUGUGAACGCGACAUCAUUAUAACUUCACCGCAAAACUGCAUCGCUCGCAAAUUAAAUUUAUGCAAACAGAUGUGUAUUAUUAACGUUUAAUUAUUUUCCUUUUCCUUUCUCGUUCUCGUCAUCGGUACAAUCAAUAUAAAUAUAUUUGAUGAAAAUAUUGAAACAAAUAAAAAAUCCUUCGAUCAUUUCUUAUUAGGCUCGAUGACAAAUUACCAUUUAUUCAUAAUCACGAGUCACUCAAGUGAGGAUCGAAUCGGAGCACGAUAAGCACGUAAUAACCGAUAUAUAUCUAAAACGACUUGUUAUUACGUCAGAUGGCUGAUUUAAAAAUUGGUACGCUCCAUUGACUGCAAAAAAAAAAUUGUUAAUGUACGACUAUGACGAGCGCGACAUGGCGAUCGCAUAAAUAGCUUCGAGCCAUUGAUUAAUAUCGAGCGAUUGCAGCUACCGUGAAUAUCAUUCGUUAAAAUGAUAGCGGAGGUACGUACCGGCGCAGCGCGGCGAGGCGCGGCGGGCGCGGCGGGCGCGGCGCAACGCGACGCGCGCCACCAUUUUUUCCCAUUGAUUUAUUUUACGCAAAAAGCGAGAAGCGCAUUUAUCGGACGUGAUUAUCUGCGCCAGUAGCAGCACGCCGCCGUGGAAUACGCCGCGCCCCACCGGUAAUCAUUAAUUAUCGCGCAGAUAAAUCGAUUGCGCGCGCGUCCCUGCGCGCGACACAAGCUAACGCCGGCUCGAUACGCGCAGGUAAAAAUGAACGACGGCGCGCGAGAGAAGGUGUAAAUCGGCGGGCAACCGAUAACGUGAAAAAAAAAUAAUAAUAAUCGCGCGACGAUAACGCCGAUGAAAAUAUUAUUGUUUGCGCACGCCACAUUCCUAACAGGCGUGCCACGGUGUGCGUUUCGUGUGUGCUGAGUGUUUCAAAAACUAGCCGCUGCUCCGCGUAUAUAGCUCUCUCUCUCUCUCUCUCUCGGCUCUACCUCCGCAGUUUAUCAACGUUGACGGUAUUUAAUCAGGUAAAUUUUCGGGCGUGUUGUAUUAUAUUCUGUGUUGCGCGCAUGUGUGUGUGUGUGUGUGUGUGUGUGUGUUGUAUGUAAAUGUGCGAAGAUUAACUUAUCCCAUUGUAAAGGCGGAUACGCGAUGUAACACAACUUUUUUUAGCGCGCGAUCCGCAUAACUUCAAUUAGUAGCAAGUUGUUCGUGUAAAGAUCGCAAACACGCGUGUUUAUUCAUAAUUUAUUCUCGAUAGAGCCGGGAAUGAGGAGACGUUAUGCCCACGGUAACGGUUCCCGUUAUCGUAAGGGGCGGUAGUUUCAGUUAUAAGUGCGACUUAUGCCACGCAUUAUAUCGCGUUAAACCCGUAUCUCUGAUAGUCGACGGUGCUUUUAACGCCGUUCCGAGUAAUCCGAUCUGAGGCUAGACGCCAACUGCACCGUAGCUUUAAGCGUGUGCAAAAUAAUUGCGGCCUUAUCACCGAGCGCUUAUCCUCCACGGCCCGAGAUGGUUGGCGAAGACGCGAUCUGGCGAAGCAAGACGGACGCGUGAAACGCGCAUGUAUCGACCCCAGUCAGAUCGUUAUCGGCUCGCGUCGUGUUGUCAGACUCGCCUCCUUCGUUUUGCUUCUUUCUCCCAUUUGCCUUCCGCGAUACGCCUAAUCGCGCGAUCUAAGUCGCAGCGUUGCAGCUUAUCCGCGACUUUUACCGCGGCGAAGACGUCACAUUGCCGAGCCGAGCCGAGCCAAACGUGAAACGCAGCAGAAACGUGAAACUUCGACUUCCCCGUUUCGCGCAACGUGAAUUUCGCUUAUCACGCGAGUAAUCGGUCUCCCCGAUGGGUUAAAAAUGAACGUCGGACAACAUCGCUAUUUCGGAGCGCAUGAGGUAAACGUGUUCGAACGCGAAAACACUUAGGCGUGACAUCACGCGGCAAAAUGUAGUUAUCGAUAUCGCGCUCAACGUUUGUAUCGCGUAACGCUUUAGAUAAUGUAUCGCAUUACGUUUUCUUCACAUACCUUAAAAACAAGUUUAGAUUAUUAUGAUUUGUCAUCGGAACGUGAAAAUAGCAAAGCUAUUUACUCGACAGAGCAGGAGUCUCUUCUUGGAUUAAAAAUAUAAUUUAAAUUAACAAUAAAGAUAUUAAAGAGCGGACAUGGUGUUUCCGUUAGAAUUGUUAAGUACAAAAUUUAAAAUUUUUAUGAACGUCAUUUGACCCAACGGAAAUGCGUAGUUCUAAUUAAAUUUACGCAAUGUUAAUUAUUUUAAAGUCGAUCGGAUCUGCAGAAAUAUUUAGAUUGCAAAUUGCAUAUUUAUCAGUUUUCAAUUUAUGUAAAUUAUGAUGCUUAAUUAACUUUGUGUUUGCGCAUCUAUCGCACGUGUUGUUUUAUCAAAUUCAAUUUCUUUCUUAAGUUUCCUUUAAAGAUUACCCUUGGAUCAUGAUAAUGAAACGAUUUAAGAGGUUCGCAUCGACUUGGUAUUUAUCUGCACACAUCUUUCAAAGAAGAAAUGAAGUAAAUGACGUCGAGGUGAAAACUAUAACUUUAACUUUGUUCGAAUAUACCAUUCAUUAUUUGGUGUAUUUAUCUUUCCAAAGUUUUCCACCGGAUUUGAUUACGAUAGAGGCGCGAAAAAAAUAAAUUCUGGUUGGUUCUGUCGCGUGACGAAAAAAAACAAGCUUUUCUAACGAAGAGAUAAGCCAGCGCUCUGUCUCUCCCCUUCGGCUCGGACAUCCUCCCUUUCCAUUCUUCGCGUCUGCUCUUCUAAUCAUUCAAUCUACCCGGUAUCCUCUCCGAUGUCAUUGCGUCUAUCGAGAGCGCCCGUGCGUGUCGGGUGUACGCAUGCACGCUCGGCAACGCUGAAGGACUGCCACGCCGCGCAGGUCAGCCAUCUUGGCUGACGUCAUCUCGCGCGUCGAGCACGCAACCGCGAAAUGCCGACUUCCUCGUUGCGAUAGCACCUUACUUUUUAUUACUCCUUUCCCCGAUUCUCUCCCUCGUCUAUCCUCCGCCCGGCGUUCCCUCCCUCCAUCCCUCCGUCGAGCUGCCGAUCUCUUUUUUUUUUCCUUCUUGUUCCUCUCUCCUCGCUGUGUACGCAUCGUCGACGGCGCGGCGUCGUGUAUAGACGUUCGCGUUUCGGUUGCGAAACGAAGCGAGACACCCCACCCGCGAUACAUGUAAAAUGGCGGAAUUUAAUAGAAAGGCGCUAUUCGCCGCUCGCAGUCGGCGUGGAAGCCGAGGCGGUCCACCGAUUCUUAUCGCUCUUAUUUCUAUUCCAUUCCUACGGAGACUGCGGGGGAGGGGAAUCGCCUAUAUCGACUCUUUGAUUGCUCGUAAUCUAUAGGUGAAUUUCGAAGAAAAACGCACAUUUGAGGAUUUAUAGUUCGCGCUGGGCACGAUCUCGACGUCUCUUGCGACAGCGAAAGACGAAUGUUGCCCGAUCGGCUGUGUAUAAAUUAUCGUAGAUCUCGUUCCCGACAAGAAUUUAUAGUUAGUUGACUCAGUGCCGGCUGUUAAUUUUUUCAGACUACCCGCGGUAGUAGACCGUGUCUAGCAGAGCAUCCGGAAUUUUCUGGCUUGACUCUUUCUGAAAUAUGUGCGCGUCGCGACACCUGGACGCUUCUCGAUGUUGCGCACAUUCAGUUAUGUAAACUGUACGUGAAUCUGAACAACGCGAAGCUAAACGCGUAAAAGUAAUUGUUAGCUAAAAUUAAUUUUAAAUCAAAUAAAAAUUAUUUAUCGAUCUUAACUUUUACACCUCCCAAACAAGCAACAUCGAAUUAGAAUAUGACAAUAUUUAAAAAAUCACUGAUGUAGUUGGUAAUUUUACAUUUUAUAGCACACCGAUUAAAUUCCAGAAAUAUCAGGUUUAUUAUUUCGACCCCAACCAACUUAUUGAUUGACCGAUGGGGUAAGUUAUCGAUCACCUCUCGGUGGAAUGUCAAAUUAACGUGAGAAUAUAAAACCCAUGGGGACAGCCAUUACGCAGAACGCGCACGGUCGCCCCGUCGCGCGCACUCGCACGUAUAUUUCUUCAGCUAUAUAAUAUACGUUUCCGUGAAAACCUGUAAUAAUCGGCGAUAACCGACGGGUUACCGCUAAAGACGUUAAUCGGCUAUCAACCGGAAAAGUACUAGGCACGUGCCCGAUGUUACGGCCAGGGACGCCCUCUCGAAUCGAGUUCAAAUUGACGUCGCGACGGUGCGCAUCGCGACAUACGGACAUCUAAAUUUUUCAAGGCAUUCCCGCUAAUGAUGAUCGUUCGGCACGUCAAGUUGAUAUCACGCGACGUGACGCGGUAAUUUGAAUUCGUGCCGGGUCAUUACUAUGUUUCGCAUUAUAGGGACAAGUUCAGAGGCUCUCGAGUCGACUACCAGUGCGUCGUGGUAAGUGUUUAUAACCGGUGUUAAAUCGGGCUUUUUUUACGGACUCAAUAAAGCGCGGUAAAUGUCGCUCACUUGUCGAUCUCCGUUCGAAGGAACCUGUUCGUGAUCCGGGUCAAGUUGUAAAAAUAGAGCGCAGGGAGGAGAAAGAGGGGGGAGGGGGGGUCGAAGCCCAUCGCUCAUUUAAUAUUUACAAAAAUAUGAUAAUUUAUUAAUGUUCGUCGGCACUUUUUGCAUCGAUACCUCCGAUUGGCUUCGCCUGCCACUUGAAAACCUGCUCCGUCGGGAGAAACGAGAUCAAAAACAAGAUCAAUAUCCAGUUGAGUUACUAAUCGAAUCUGUACUUCUUUAUUUUUUUCUUCUGACAUCGUCUCAUAUACAAUUAGCUGUUCGAUGCAUGAGAAAAAAGAUCGCGAAAUCAUGUGCAUCCCUUAAAAUUACUCUCUGCUAUCUUGUAAGAAUUUUUUUUCAAAGAAUGUAAUUUUCGAUUUGAGAUAAAUCAUAUCUGCGAUUUUAUCUCGUUUUAAAUAAACUAAGACCUCUUUUUCCUUAGGCUUAAUAUAGAGAGCCUAGUCCCUAGACCUAAUACAAAUUUCAGGUUCUUAGGCUUAUGCAGCCCUGCUUCGUUAGGCCUUUAUACAGCCAGCCUGACUGUUUUCUUGACACAGUCUUCGGAAAAUAUAUGUAGAAUAUUUUCGGUCGUUUGCCAUUGCCUUCUAACGGCGAUGAUAAUCAAUUAAAAAAAUCUGAUAUGUUCUGGAGCACAGAGAGCAGACGAACAAGUCUUUACGCCACGAUCACCUUCAUGAAUGUAACUUGAAUUGAAAUUUUCCAAUCAUAUUUGCAAAUUAGAGUCUUUUAUAAAGCGUUUUCCUUUUACGAGGAGGAAUUAGGAUCACUCGCAAGGACCCAGAGUGCGAUUUGUUUCGAGCGAAAUUAACGAUUCGUACGCGUCCGAGUUAUGAUUAUCGUCAUGUCGCGCCCUAUGUUAGGGGAAUUACCCGUUGGUGACGGUUACUCGUCCGCUUUACUGCCUACCGUGGCAUAGCUCUCACUGUAAUAUGCUAAUAGGUAGAUGGUAGCUCUACCCCGCGUAACGACGGAUCGUCGUAUCGUGUUUACGAGGUGAACCGACCCCGGGGUUUCCCCUCGUGUCCCCCACACGCGCGAUGAGAGAAGAACCUUACGAGGAUCGUCGAGAGAGUCAUUCCCGUCGCGGUAUUCGUUACGCUCCCGUAAUUGCUGGACGCGUCGGUUAAAGGUUGUCGUGCAAACCGAUACGAUGAGAGGUUCCAUACAGGGACACGCGGGAACGAAAUCGUUUAUUGGCGGGAAUCGUAAAGUAAUCGGUUCGCGACACCGGACUUUCCGUGCAAUCAUGAAUUUCCGUCGAUUUGCGUACGAACCUUCACUUUCACAACAGUAAUUGUACAACGUAUCAGCGUAUCGUUUCAACUCUUUAUUAAUAGCAACGAAGAGUUUAUACACUACACAGGCUAUGGUUCUUUUUUUACCCGCUAGUUUGAUACUUCGUAUAUCGAUACGUUCAUCGUAUAACGUGCAAUUAUCUACUUGUUCGUACAGGAGAAUUAAACAUGCACAAAGUACAAUGCAAUCUGAAUUAUCAUUUGGAAAUAAAUGAUUGCGUAAACAGAUACGUAUUGCGAGCAACGAGGGGGAGAGGGGAGGGGGGAGAUCGUGGUCGUACGAAUCGCUAUCCUGUCAAGCAGUAUUGGAAACGAAGCAAAAUUAAUUAAACCGGGAGCGUUAGAGAUCUGCGAGCGCGUGUAUCGGUUGCAGCGAUAAUUAAAACUACCGACAGGACGAAAAAUUUUUAAUCAGCGGCACGACCGCGGCGCGGACGAGAGCGGAUUGUCCCUCGAACGGCUCGGGAUAAUAUGGCACCGACAAAUUUUGAUUCGGCGCUUCACGAGGACGAAAAAUGAUGGAGAGAAAAAAAAAGGAAGAAACCGCGGGGGAAAAAAAUCAAAAACCUCGCUUGUUUGCGCGUAUUGGAGCUAAACGGGGGGUUGGCUCGCUUCCGCACACAAUUGUCGGGCCCGGACGAUUGACCGAGAGGCCGAAUGGUUGGGAGUUGCUGUAGCACGCGGGCGUGGUGCGCGCGAUAAAAAUGGCGCACGCUCGACGCGACGAGGGAGAUUCCCCCUCCCCCCUCUCCCUCCUUUUAUUCCCGAAUAAAUGCCGUGUGUGUGAUGCACCCCCAACAGACCGCCCUGGACUACCCUGUCGAAAAAACACUGUUCCUCCCUCCCUCCCUUCGCCUCUCUCUUUCUCUGUUAUCCCUUCACAGUCUCAUUCCACUGCCGCCACCCUCGCGUUUUCAACCAUCUAUCCAUGAUUGGGAGACACGAGCCUGUUUAACCCUCGAGCGGCUUAUUAUGCGGCAGUCGUAUGAACGGGCGGAUAGACGGAUGGCACGAGAAUGGUUUCGGCGGAGGCCGGGACGACAGAUUGAAGGAUUUUGGAGGGUUUCGGCGGUUUCUCGUGUCGCAUUGCGAAGAGAAGAGGUUUCCUUCUUUGUGGGCUCAAGUGGACGAAGUGAGCGUUACGGCAAAGGCGGACGUGAGAGACCUGUUUUAUGCUGCAAAUGUCGUCGAUGACAAACGAUUCGAUUAAAGUUCUCAGGCUUUGCCGAUGACACAGGGUUUCGUCUCGCAUCGGUACUAGUGAUAGUGACGCGACAGCAUACUAAUCAUGGUAACACACUAUGUUUAAUACUGCGAUCAGAAUAAUUAUCGGUGAUAAACAUCAAGUUUAAACUUUUACAAAAUUGUUUAUUGGAACGCUCUAACGACUCGAGAAUUGACAUCGUGCUGUGCUAAUUGAUACGAGCAAUUUAUGGGGUGACAGCGCAGGAUGAGUUAUAGUUCUCCCCGACGGCUUGUCAUAACAUUACAGCCAUGAGGGUGCUAUGGGAUAGACACUAAAAGCAAUCAAUAAUUAAGUAAGGUUAUCCGGAAGUUCAAUCGUUUGUCGCAUUAUAGGCUUGCCGCGUAAUUACGAUAUUAGGAAUUAGGAGUUUUAUCUUUAAAAUAUAAAACGUUUUCCUUUAGACAGAACAGAGUUUAAGAAAAUUAUUGAAUAAAGUAUUCAAUUAAAUUUACGUAUAAUUAUAACUGAUCAUUGAUGAUCAUUUUAAAGUAAUAUUUAUUAAUUGAUACAAAAUGUAUUCAAUAUAAAAAUAUAUUUAUGCACAAUAUCGUUAUAUAUAUACAUACAAGAUUAUUUCUCGAAUAUUUUGGAUAAAAAUAUAUUAACUUUACGUUAAAUAAUUAUACCAUGACAAUUUGUGUUUCUUAAUUGAUGAAUAUCGCGCGUAUUGUGUCGCUUGAGUGAUUCAAGCAGCCCGUGCAACAUUCCGGGCACCUGAUGCCGCUGUAAAAAAAAAGAGCGAACAAGUGCAUAAAAAAAACGAAUCCAGGGUGUUGAAGCAACGGGGUAAAAUCAUCCCCUACAAUCCCAUUUCCGAGUGCAAUAAACCAGACGAUGGAGGAGAACGCCGCUGAGCAAUAAACCGAUCCGGAUGAACAUUUCGUCGUGUACCGAACGAUAUCGUAUCUGAAUUUCCGCAGAAUGCCCGAUCGUUUCACGCAUCCGUGAUCCAUCUAUCUAUCAAUGCAUUACGCACGCGCAUAUACGCACCUUUGUGAGGAACUAUAUUAUUCUUAACGCGAUAGUUUAAUUAUUUUAUUUUAUUUAGAGCACAAGAGACUUUAAUCUAGAAUAUUUCUUCAGAUAUGGAGCGCAUCUAUAGAUGCACUUGUCUUUUUCGUAAAUACGAAAAAGUUUGUGUAACGCAAUAGUUCUAUUAGAAGAUGACGUAAUAUGUUGUCCAUUUCAUAUAAUAUUCGCCCAAUAAAUAAUUUGAUCAAAGUACGGCAAAUAUUAUAAAUAUUAUAAACUGAUUGAUCAAAGAAGAAGAUAGAUCGGAGAAAAACUUGGCUGCACGAACAGACCAUUUUAACAGAAAGGAUACAUUCCCCGGGUAUAGCUUUAAAUAGCGAGACGAUGCGAUAUUCUGCCGGACUGACCGAUGCAUCGUACGUGCAUGGAUUACGUGCCUGCAAUAUAGAAAGGGUUAUGCUCACACACGAGAAAACCGAUUAUCUAUUGCACCGCACCGGGCGCGUAGAUAACUCCAUCCUAAUGCACAAUAAGGAAACGUAGUACGUGCGUUGCGCGCAUUAAAAGAGAAGAGGAAAAAAAAAUAGCGAACGCCAAUUAUUAAGAUAAUAAUGAAGGGAGAAAGCUAGCGGUCUGUUAGAUCACAAAUUAAUGUCUCUGCUAUUAAUGUUCAAACUCGUCGACGUAACUGUGAUUUUUAGAAUCCCGCGAGCUAGCGCCAAAUAAUUCACAUAAAUCACACAGUUAUUUUAAUUCGAAGAAUACUCUGUUAAUUAUGGAAUUUCAUUAAUAAAGUUUUAGAUAGGCGUCGAAAGAGCUGAUAAAAAAAUUAGAUCUGAGAAAUAUACUUCUGCUAGAAUUCAAACAUGAAUCUUUCCGACAAGACUCUAUAGAUACGAGGUUCCGCAACAGUAACUAGCAAUCUAAAAUACAUUCCGUUCGGUUCGAACGUUCGGUAUAAUUUUGCGGAGCAAUAGCGGGGAAAGGAUCUCUCUCGAUCUUUUAACUUUCCAAACGGCGUUUCGCUCGUAAACUCAACCCACCCGUGAGCCACCUUGUCCCUGAGAAUCUCUGUCCUUUGACUAUCGCUAUACAAUAUUCAUGCUGCCGUGCCAAGUGUCUCGCAAUAACUUAGUUAUCUCACGAUGAUUGUGACUCAAAUAUGCGCAUGCGGAAUAUUAAUGCCGUCGGAAAGAGCGCGCGCGUUGCAAUAUGCACGGAGACGUCGUGCGGCGCGGCGCGGCGCGGUGCGUCCGUGUGGCAACGGUUGCUCGGAUGCAACGCGGGGGGAAACGACGCGACGCGGGCGCCCAUUGCAAUUGCGUCCUCUAUCGCGUCGGCCGGCGCGUAGCCGCGUUUACGUAGUUGCCGGUGGACGCUGUACCAGGGGUGUAAUGGGCAACGUGCACGCUGUCGAUAGUUAUUGCUUUGUUAUUGGGCUGUGCGACGGGACGUGUCCGCGCUACCGAGCGACGCGGCGCCGAAUAUUGCACGGAGGUCGUUUUAUUGGAAAUUUCCCGCGGCCCACUUCUGGAUUUCCGCGAUUUUCCCGUUCGCGCGGACGUGACGACGCGUGCCAGCGUGGCGCUUUUCCACGUUCGCUUUCUCCCGGCGCCCGCUUUUGCGCUUUUUUUUUGCUCCCUUUUUGCAUCCUCUCUUUUUUUUUUUGCAAGCGGCGUUCUGUAAAAUCCGGGGCUUCCGAGUAAAUCCGAGUUUAUUAUUAAAUCAAAGCUCGUAACGCGACACGCGCGCAAACUGGUAUUUUUUUUUCUCUUUUUUUAGAAUUUCUGGGUCACUAGAAACGAUUUCAAAGUGUUCCGUGUUUUCUAAAUACGAAAAACGUGAAUUAAAUGAAGAAUUUUCUGAUAUUAAAAAAAUUUGGAGAAAUUUUGAAGAACAUGUUUUAAUAAGGAAGAAAUAGAAGGUGAACGGAGGAAAAUGAUGAACCUCAUAAAAUUGUAAUUGCCACAAAGAUUAAAGAAAUAGUUUGAAAUAAUUCCAUCACCGACGUUAACGUGUAUAGAUUUAUAGCAUAUUUCAUCAAAAAGCUCGAUACGCAGAGGCCUUUCUACGCUAACAGUUUCCUCCAUUUUCGGAAGAACGUUCGAUCCAAUUGGAUCCAAUCACGAACGGUAGGGCUGCACGUGGCUUAAUUGAUUUGAUUUCGAGGGGUUUUCAUCCCACUUUCGACGCGUACUUCCCUACAACGUGACAUUAAACAUUGUGUGGCACUCCCCUCUCCGUUUUUACUUCGCCUUACCCUUAUGAUUUCUCCAAAAGGUCGCCCGGGGUUCCGUAUGCGCUCACAUAUACACACAUACAUACGCAUUACGUGCGUACGUACGCGCAAAAUCGAGGGUUUCUAAUACCAUCCAGUUUGCAUUCAGCAAUUAUGUUUCAUUGUAAUAUUCAAGAAUGUACCUUUUUCUGUAUAGUUAAUAGUAUAAUUCUUAACUACUUUAUUCUGCGAAAGAAACGGGAAAAAAUCGGUGAAUCGCACGUCACGUGAAGUCCCUUUGUGUGAAUGCGGGCGCACCAGACGCCAUUGUAAUGCCCCUGAUUGUAUUGUACAUAAGUUACAUGUCACCUGAUUGUAUUCGUCCAUCGUGACUAGUAGUUUCCAUCUUGUUUCUCUGAAUGCAAUUGAUUUCGAAUAAAUUACACAUAAUGAAGGAGAACCAUUGCUUCACGAAAUUACAGUCGACUUUCUUUCCCGAUUUCUUUAGGAGAACUAUUUUUUGCCACUAAUGAUUAAGAUGGCCGAAUACUGAUUGUUUGGAAGAAUAGUUUUCAAGUUUGUAUAUAAAAAAAAUUAUAGAUUGAUUUCUAAAUUCACAAUUUGAUGCCUUCCUUUUCAAAUUAUUUUUAUUCGUUUAUAACUUAUAUCAUUAACAUCAACCAAAGUUCGUGAAAAUUUACCCAUAAUUUUAUUAUAAUUUUAUUCCAUAAAAUAAUUGUCAGUAGCUGACAGAGUUUAGCUUCAAGGACGUUCUAAUAUUUCAUAUGAACUUUAAACGAUUUAUUUAUAUGUAAAACCUUGAAUGAAAAUACAAAGAUUUACACUUAGCACUUCUUCACCUUGUUUAAAAAUAAUUUUGCAAUGAUAGAAUUAAAAAAAAAUUUUUUCUUCAUGCUAAUUAUCGUAUUGUACUAGAGCCAGCUUAAUCGCGAAAGGAUGAGUUGUCAUGGCAGAAAACCGCAAUUGCUCAUGAUGAUUCCACGUUUCGUCACACGUUUGUUGCAAAAUCUAAUUUAGAACGUAUAUACGACUCAUACGAAUAUACCGCAUGAUAGUCGCACCGGCGUCUAUGCGACUCGAGGCAAAUUGCGAGCGUGGAGCCGAUUUCAUCAACGUUCGCGCGAGGAUAUCAUCGAUCUCUUUGCCUAUUACAGGACCAACCGAACCUAGCUUGCCAGCACCGGAAACCACAAGCGCGCAUGAUGAUUCAGUGACUCGUCAUACGCUCGUUACAAAAUCUAAUUUAAAAUUGAGAUGAUGUACGAGAUUAAGGCGUGGAAAGUUCUGUCGUGUUGCAAGAAACCACGAACAAUUAUACUAGCUUCGUCAAUUACAGUCUAAUUGGAAAGGCGUAAAAACCCCAUAAUACGUAGCUGCAAGCGUAAAAUCUUUUCAAGUCUGCUUUACAGAAUUGCUUAGUUUUUAUUUAAUGAAACAAACAAUGCGUGUGUUCGUUAUUACGCUUAAUUAAUUAUUACACAACGCAACAAGUUUCUUGUUACAUUUAAAUUUCAAUUAAUUGUCUUCAUGUGUUGUCCAUAAUUGUAGUAUGUUAAGUAGUCAGUCUAAACAAAGGAAGCGUAAAGAGAAGAAAUCGUGCAUUGCCUCGUUCUACAAUGUAAUUUUCAAUAUCCAGCUUAUUAACUCGGAAUAAUGCCACGUCCCUGGAGCUUUAACCCUCCUUGAGAUUACAAGACUUGCCGACGUGUCAGUGGUGGUGGAUCCAACAUAAUACAUAUAUAUCCGUACGAAAUCUUAUUCACGUCUCGUAUUGCUGGGGUGAAAGGAAUGCACAUAGUCGUAAAUUGAAAAAUUAUGAAAAAUUAUGAAAUUGAAACAGCGAGUAGAUAAAUUAUUUUAACAAAAAUUUCACUAAGGAAAACACUAGGAAUUUUUUUAUAGAUUAAUGUGAUUUACAUUUUUUAAUAAAAUUAUCCUGACAUGUAUUGAAUAUUACAUUGGAAAAAAAUUGUCCAAAAACUAAAUAGUUCAACAAAAAAUUGAGUUGGUAAAGUUAAUUUUUGGUUUAAAAAAUGUUUAUGAUUGACGUGAAUAGACUAUAUUUUUUUUGUGCAACUAAAUAAAUAACUCAACCCAAUGUUUAUUUGAAUCAAACUAAAUAUUUUAGUUUUCCUACAAAUUUUUUUCUCAGUGUAUAAAUCAUAUGUACAAUAGUGUAGGGGUAUUAUUUAAGAGAUCUUUUAUUCGCUACAAAUAAGACAUAUGUCUUUGUGAAAAAACGUUAGCCUCUCUCUCAUGUAGAAUACUAAAGUCAGACUCGUGUAAUAUCUCAAAAGAAUAGUUAAAGAAUAUUAAUUUUUAUUCGAGUGUAGCAUAAAUCAUGUGACGUUUUUAUUCAUAAAAUUGCUUAAUUUUACGAUACAACAAAAAGUUAAUACGUUUUCAGCCGAAGAAAUCUAAACGGAAAAAAUUAACGCUGAACGUUGCGUGUUCAACUCUGACCGCGUGACUGGUGACUUCAGCACUUCUUCUCGCGCAUCCUCAAACGGGAAGAAGUCUUUUCCCGUGUCCCUUCAAUGCGACGCCUAUCUAUCCACGACCACGUAGGCGUUUUUUAUGCGAACAUUCCCGCGCCCUAACCCGUCUCCUUUUCGAGCUCGAGUGUGCGAGAGGCGAGUAUUAAAGUUCUGUUUUACGUGCCAUCGCGGAAAUGACGAAUCCCGUUUCUUUCUCGUGCUCCUCUUGGCAGGCAAGUUAAUGGUCGAAGCUUCCGCAGACUUUCAUAAUUUCGGAGGGGGGGGGGAGACGAAUCUCUUUCCGGGAGACGUUUCGAAAUCCCACUUUUCUUUCUGCUGGAGCUCCGAAGCUUCUCGAGAAGUUUGAUUGCUACAACGCGCACCGCGAUGUCUCGGGAAGAUGUCAGCGUUUCGGCUUGUACGCGGGAGACGAACAAUUUUGAAUGAUAAACGAUAUAUCGCUGAGAAACGUUACGUUAUGCGAGCAGCUGCUCUUCUCUUCGUUCAUAAGCGCAUUUGCGCAUGAGAUAGCGAACAGCGUACACGCUCACGUCAUCGUGUAAAUUUGUCUAACGAAUUCCGAAUUAUUAGCUGAAAUAACUGUGCGUCAGUAAUUUGUUAGAGUACUAUUAAUCGAGUGAUAUCGUGCUAUAUGAAGAGCAGCGCUAAAAAUAGAUACUUUGCACGAUCGUAUCACAUUUAUAUUCAAUGUGAUUGAGCGAUUACGGUAGUCAUCAAAGGGAAAAUUUAUCUUGACGGUAAAACAUUGGGAGGUAAGAGAUCUCAUGAAUUUCAAAUUUCGUCGCGUAUAAUUUAGAAAGACAUUGUAGACACAGUAAUAAUUGCUUUAAAUCGCAAAGCUUUAGCUUGUCAUUACGGUAGCCUAUUCUGGCUAUUUCCGAAAGCAAAAUGAUGGUCGGUAGCGUGUCGUAUACCUGUGUAACCUGUAUUACACGUGUCAGUUAUCUAUCUGCGUACCUAUAUCUCUUUCGGCCGAUUCGUGUGUCGGUUAUUUUUACAGGUCCGAUAAUUUCACGCCUCUCCUUGCGUCCUAGGAAAGACGCGUUCUACGUUAACCCCACUUGUCGCGCAGUGGUAUUGUAACAACGAGCAAUUUUGUUCGUCGGUGAACGGGCGGGCACCUUGCUAUUUCACCUUGAAACCGGUCCAACGGUGCUUCCCUUCGGCUCCGGCCGAUCGAAUCGAAUCUCCAUGUCCGAUCUCUCGUUCACCCGUAAACGAGUUCCAUCGCGCGCGCGGCUACGAGAAUGAUUCGCAAGUAUCGGUGUUUACUCGUGCAGUCAUCUUCUAAAUUGCGACGCGUUUAUGACUGCGUGUCGAUGAGAGAUCAAUACGGCAGAGAAAGAUUAUUGCUGCGCGGACACUCGUAUUUCGAAGUGUCCGCUCUCGCGAGAUAUGAAAGACAGUAAUAUCUUUUAUGUUUGGUAAUUAGACGCGUUCGGAAGAGGCGGGCGGAAUGAGAAAUGGCAUAUUUUAUCGAAUAUAUUUUAUCUAAGGAAUGCUAAUGGCGAUACGGCAUUCUGAUUUCAAUGGCCAUUGAUGCAACGGCAAUUGCAUGCUGGUGUUUCUUACAUGGACGCACGGCAGUGCUCUCUUACGUAAUUAAUUACGGACGGAUGCUCGACCGAUAGAGAAUAACUAAUUAUCUUUAUCUACUUCGGAAUCGUUCAUCGAGGUGCUUCUCGCGAUUCUCGCGAUUUUCACAUUGUCCCUGCUGCAUCAUCGGUAUCGGAAAUAAAAUCGGAAAUAAACAAGCAGCAGAAUCGUACGUUUGACCAGCACUCGGGCGUUUCAAAAUGUGCCAUUCUAUACGUGCUUCUGAAAAUUCGAACGCGUGCUGCGGGAAUACAAAAGAGGAAGAGUCGGCGAGCUCGAGAAAGAGAUCGCUCGACAGUGAUAUGUAAUGUAUCUGGCAUGACAAGGCGAGAGCAAUUAAAUGUCGCCGGAUGCAGCUGCAGGCGAUUGCGUCAUCGGAGCUACUUUGCAACCUUGAUCUCUUCUCGGAGGGGUCUCUUCACCGCGGCUCCCGCCUCCUCCUCCUCCACCUCCUCCUCCCCCUCUUCCUCCUCUCUUUAUAUCGAGUAUCUUGUUCCUCCACCUCCGUCUCUCUCGUCCCUUUCAAAACUUCAGUGCCGUCCUCUCUUUAGUUGCGAUGAUCGGCGUUGUCGUCGGACGCCGUUUGCAUUCUGCACUUGUGCCGCGACAACUUCUGCGCCUUUUUACGAUCCGCGAAAGAUGUAACGACGUUUUACGACCACGCGUGUAUGCGAGAGUGGCCGUGCGAGAGCCACGCGAGGUCCUUUCUAAAAAAAAAAUUCCACGACACUCUAAUAAAAAGUCACGAUCCUAUCCCGCAGUUUAGAAUUUUACGAUGAUGCGUGUAGCGUUUUAUAGUAUGUCGAAGCGGAAGCGACUAUCGAUUGGCCGGCCCACGAUCGGGUGAGCCGGCCCGAAGGCGCGUCGCAUUAAAAACGGUUUAUCUUAUGGUUAACGAUUGACUACUCCGAGCAGGUUUCAGCGUUACACGCGAUCGCCUUGUCUGCUUGACGAGAGAAUAAAUUAAUAAUUUAAUAAUCAUUGAAAGAAGUGACAGGUUAACCUGUUGCACAAAAGGUUGUCGCUGGCCUUUAGAACGGCUUUUGCCGUCUGCUUUCUGGAGCCAUCGCGAAUCUCCAUCCUUGUGACGGCGUUACAAAAACGCGUGACGAAGCGGACCCUUUUUUGUCGCGUUUUGGGUCGCGUCGUGAUACUUGCGAAGAAUCGUGGGACUCGUUGAACUGUGUACCGUAGUUUAAGCUCUUUAUACAUAUUAGCAUGCCGUUAAGGAUAAAUUAACAAUUUAGUAAUCAUUAAUAAAGUUGAUUUUAAAAUAUAGCUUCCGCCGUGUCCGCUCUUUCAAGUCCGAGUCUUAACGCGGCAACAUGCUGCAAAAACGCGUGAUGAAAUGAACCUUUUUUUUGUUAUUUUAAUCCUUUAGAGACUCGUUGAACCCUAGUCCAUAGUUUGAGCUCGUUAUCCUUGCGUGCUGAUGACUCGAGAAUAUAUAUUCUUGAGUACCGUUCAAGUUUAUUACGAUUUAGAGUCAAAGUGCAUUUUAUAUAUAUAUAUACAUAUAUAUAUAUAUAUAUAUAUAUAUAUAUAUAUAUAAGUGUAUUAUUAUUUAUUUAUUUGUGUUACAUUAUGAGAAAUUUAAAAAAUAUACGAGAAUAUAGAAUUGUACGGGAGAUUAAUUUAUAAUGGCUGUAGAAAAAAAACUUAAUGAGAUAAUGCCGUAUAGUAAUAAAUAAAAGACGAUACGUUGAGAGAUAAAACAUAGAAGAAACCUAGUGGGAAGCUAUUUUGUCAACUCAGUCAAUUUAGGAUCGGUUCAAAUUAGGGUCAGAGUGGUCACGAACGUGGAUGCGGGCGCGUAAAAUCUUUUAAGAGGGAAAAAGAAGUUCCCACGAAUCGUGGCGAACGUUGCAGGAAAGCCUCUAGUCUUCGUGCGCGACGAAGCUUCGUCUUAAAUUCAAUUCACACAUGGUUAAACAAGCGUCACGUUUCUCCUUUUUUUUUUCACACAAUCGUACUGUCACCGUCGUUGAGUCAAACGUGAUGGCUCGUAUCCUUUUAGAGCCGUACGACAGCACUUUUAUUGCUCUUUUUCCAAGAAUAACGAGCGAGGGAGAAGCCACGGUAGUAGAACAUUAUUAGUUUUUAGUAUCCUCAACAAUGUAACAUUCCAUUUUGCCUGCGAAACCUGUAAAACGCUAUAAAAUUUGUCUACCUAAUAAACUUAUCGUUCCAGCGGAUACGACAGACGCGAUAGACCAAAAAGAAAAGCGGAUGUGCUAGUGAAACAAUCCUGCUUUAUUUUUGACGAUAACAGACCCGUGAUCGAUACUGCCGAAAUAACUUUAACUGCAAAAUUUACUUCUCGUCAUAUGUCAAACGAAUUUCAGACAGGCGUCAAAGAUUGAAUAUCGACUUUUGUGACUCGGGUCACACGAUCUAUUGCCUCCGUACACGUUUGCGCAUAUAUCGCACACCCUGUUCGGCGCGAUUGGUUCAGCGGAAAGCCGAUGCCGCCAGCUACUCUGAAUAAUUAAACUAGCUCCCUGAUGCGUGAUCUGAUUGGUUUCACGCACGGAAAUUCUCUGCGCGCUCGCACAUUUUGUGACAAAAAAAAUACUGCAUGUUUAGUUCAAUCUGUAUCGCGGCGUUCGCGUGACAUUCGCGAUAUCAAAUUUAGCUCCGUUACUAUCCUCACAUGCGAUUGAUGGAAUACAAAAACGACAUCGCAGAAAAAACUAAUUAACUAAUGCUGUAUUUUUUCAAAUAAUCCAUAAUCAUUGCGCAUUCGUUUGAAGGUUCAAUAAGUUUACAAUUUCUUUUUUUGCCUCGAAAGAAUAAUUGUAAAUCUCUGUUCCAAUCAGUCGAUCAAGGAAAUAUAGUGAAUAUAUUACGAUAUAUGAGCGCGGGUUACGUGUAUUCGUACGUGAUAAAACACGAGAGAUAUUUAAAGAUUCGUGAUGAGGAUUCACAGAAGAAUAUCAGCGCGUAAAAAAAAAACUCUUG
Long non-coding RNA from Solenopsis invicta (red fire ant), 26371 nucleotides. RefSeq lists it as uncharacterized. The transcript is spliced from 2 exons. The record is from RefSeq and is a predicted model, not a curated record. Lineage: Eukaryota; Metazoa; Arthropoda; Insecta; Hymenoptera; Formicidae.